Molecule: ribosomal RNA, 252 nt
Filed under: uncultured archaeon
Lineage: Archaea
Description: partial 16S ribosomal RNA
Rfam family: Archaeal small subunit ribosomal RNA
Source: RNAcentral
AGAUACCCCGGUAGUCCUAGGCGUAAAUGAUGCGAGUUAAGUNUGGGGGCAUCUACGAGAUGGCCCUGGUGCUGUAGGGUAGCCGUUAAACUCGCUGCCUGGGGAGUACGGUCGCAAGGCUGAAACUUAAAGGAAUUGGCGGGGAGCACCACAAGAGGUGGAGGCUGCGGUUCAAUUGGACUCAACGCCGGAAAACUCAUCGGGAGCGACAGCAGUAUGAUUGCCAGGUUGAUGACCUUGCUUGACAAGCUG